GGCGUCAUAGCUCAGCUGGGAGAGCAGCAGACUGAAGUGCAGCGUAUCAAGUGUUGCAGCAAUCUGAAGGUCCCGCGUUCGAUCCGCGGUGCUGCCA
Molecule: non-coding RNA, 97 nt
Organism: Mycena haematopus
Lineage: Eukaryota; Fungi; Basidiomycota; Agaricomycetes; Agaricales; Mycenaceae
Source: the annotation of a GenBank genome assembly